RNAcentral lists this ribosomal RNA (590 nucleotides) under uncultured archaeon. RNAcentral describes it as "bacterial SSU rRNA". It matches the Rfam family "Archaeal small subunit ribosomal RNA", at positions 44 to 609 of the family's 1478-position model. The record is from RNAcentral.
CUAAGACAUGCUAGUCGAGCGUCUUCAGGCUAUGUUGAGGACGCGGCGUACGGCUCAGUAACACGUGGCCAACCUACCCUUAGGACGGAGACAACCCCGGGAAACUGGGGCUAAUCCCCGAUAGGUGAGGACGCCUGGAAUGGUCUCUCACCCAAAGGACGUUGAAACCAUGCUUUUCAGCGUUGCCUAAGGGUGGAGCCGCGGCCGAUCAGGUUGUUGGUGAGGUAACGGCUCACCAAGCCUAUAACCGGUACGGGCCAUGAGAGUGGGAGCCCGGAGAUGGGCACUGAGACAAGGGCCCAGGCCCUACGGGGCGCAGCAGUUGCGAAACCUCCACAAUGCACGAAAGUGCGAUGGGGCUAACCCGAGUGCCGUCCGCUGAGGAGGGCUUUUCUCCGCUGUAAGGAGGCGGAGGAAUAAGGAGAGGGCAAGACUGGUGUCAGCCGCCGCGGUAAUACCAGCUCUCCGAGUGGUAGGGACGAUUAUUGGGCCUAAAGCGUUCGUAGCCGGCUUGGCAAGUCUUUCGUUAAAUCCAGUGACCUAAUCGCUGGGCUGCGGGAGAUACUGUCAGGCUUGGGAGCGGAAGAGGU